GCUUACGGCCAAACCAGCCUGGGUACGCCCGAUCUCGUCUGAUCUCGGAAGCUAAGCAGCGUCGGGCCUGGUUAGUACUUGAAUGGGAGACUGCCUGGGAAUACCAGGUGCUGUAACCA
RNAcentral lists this ribosomal RNA (119 nucleotides) under Salmo trutta (river trout). The record is from RNAcentral. Lineage: Eukaryota; Metazoa; Chordata; Actinopteri; Salmoniformes; Salmonidae.